UUUCCCACUCAUUUUGCUAGGACCUUUCCCUUAGCUGAAAAAAAAAAAAAAACCAACCCUAGAUCUAAAAACACAAUUGCCGCCUCUCACUCUCAGUCAAUCUCUCCCUCGCACGCUCUCACACUCUCAUGAACCUCAAUCCCUCAAUCCACCCUCAAUCCCUUUCACCCUCUCCAGUUCACACACACUCCCAUCCUCCUGCGAUUCCGGCAAAGCAAGUUUGGAUAGAAGCUUGAGGACUGAACCCCAACUCCAAAAUCAAGACCAGAGAAGCUUCGACUUUCAGGGUUGAUUUUAAAUAGGACCUACAGAAGAGACAUUUCAAAUCAUGAGAUCACAAUUUGGAUGGUCCUCACAUGUUGUCCUCAGAGCCUUCAAACUUAGGGGCAGGGCAUGUUGCUGGUGUACAGACGAUUAUGAGUGCUAGGGUUCCUAUAAUCAAGCUUGUAGACUGUGGAACCGGAAUUGAGUGUGAUUUAUCAAUUGAGAACAGGGAUGGCAUUGUAAAAUCCCAGAUAGUCUACAUAAUAUCUAGAAUUGACGGAAGGUUUCGGAAACUGAG
Molecule: long non-coding RNA, 562 nt
Organism: Rosa rugosa (rugosa rose)
Lineage: Eukaryota; Viridiplantae; Streptophyta; Magnoliopsida; Rosales; Rosaceae
Exons: 4
Source: RefSeq, a predicted model, not a curated record